CUUUGAGGCAGGCAAUGCCUCAAGGCGGAAGGAG
RNAcentral lists this non-coding RNA (34 nucleotides) under unclassified sequences. RNAcentral describes it as "L31-Firmicutes ribosomal protein leader". It matches the Rfam family "L31-Firmicutes ribosomal protein leader". The record is from RNAcentral.